Molecule: non-coding RNA, 76 nt
Filed under: Eutreptiella gymnastica
Lineage: Eukaryota; Euglenozoa; Euglenophyceae; Eutreptiales; Eutreptiaceae
Source: RNAcentral
GGACAGGAGGGAGGAGCAGCGCCCAGCAGGGGGGGGAGAGGGGGGACACGGGGAAGGGAGGAAAUCCAGCAAUGAA